UACGGAGGGGGCGAGCGUUAUUCGGAAUUAUUGGGCGUAAAGGGCGCGUAGGCGGCCCGGUAAGUCAAAGGUGAAAUCCCUCGGCUCAACUGAGGAACUGCCUUUGAAACUGUCGGGCUUGAGGCCGGGAGGGGGUGGCGGAAUUCCCAGUGUAGCGGUGAAAUGCGUAGAUAUUGGGAGGAACACCAGUGGCGAAGGCGGCCACCUGGACCGGUUCUGACGCUGAUGCGCGAAAGCGUGGGGAGCAAACAGG
This 253-nucleotide ribosomal RNA is filed under the name uncultured bacterium. RNAcentral's name for it is "partial 16S ribosomal RNA". It matches the Rfam family "Bacterial small subunit ribosomal RNA", at positions 524 to 776 of the family's 1533-position model. The record is from RNAcentral.